GACGAACGCUGGCGGCGUGCUUAACACAUGCAAGUCGAACGGAAAGGCCUCUUUCGGGGGGUACUCGAGUUGCGAACGGGUGAGUAACACGUGAGUAACCUGCCCUUGACUUUGGGAUAACUUCAGGAAACUGGGGCUAAUACCUGAUAGGAGCUCCUGCUGCAUGGUGGGGGUUGGAAAGUUUCGGCGGUUGGGGAUGGACUCGCGGCUUAUCAGCUUGUUGGUGGGGUAGUGGCUUACCAAGGCUUUGACGGGUAGCCGGCCUGAGAGGGUGACCGGCCGCAUUGGGACUGAGUUGCGGCCCAGACUCCUAAGGGAGGGAGCAGUGGGGAAUAUUGCACAAUGGGUGGAAGCCUGAUGCAGCAACGCCGUGUGCGGGAUGACGGCCUUCGGGUUGUAAACCGCUUUCGCUCAUGACGAAGCUUUGUGUGACGGUAGUGGGUAAAGAAGCACCGGCUAACUACGUG
RNAcentral lists this ribosomal RNA (467 nucleotides) under uncultured bacterium. Its description in RNAcentral is "partial 16S ribosomal RNA". It matches the Rfam family "Bacterial small subunit ribosomal RNA", at positions 28 to 507 of the family's 1533-position model. The record is from RNAcentral.